CCGACGGUGAGGGGCGAAUGCUGGGGGCGCAAACCGGAUUAGAUACCCGGGUAGUCCCACAGUAAACGAUUCCAGCUAUGUGUUGCUGGAACCAUGGGUUCCAGCAGUGCCGAAGGGAAGCCGUGAAGCUGGCCACCUGGGAAGUACGGUCGCAAGGCUGAAACUUAAAGGAAUUGGCGGGGGAGUACCACAACCGGUUGGAGCCUGCGGUUUAAUUGGAUACAACGCCGGGAAUCUUACCGGAGGGGACAGCAGUAUGAAGGCCAGUGCUAAAGACCUUGCCAGAUCAGCUGAGAGGAGGUGCAUGGCCGGUCGCCAGUUCGUACCGUGAGGCAUCCUGUUUAGUCAGGCAACGAUCGAGACCCGCAGUCUUAUUUGCCAGCAUGCCCUUUGGGGUGUAUGGGUACAAUAAGACGACCGCCAGCGCUAAGCUGGAGGAAGGAGCGGGCUACGGUAGGUCAGCAUGCCCCGAAUCCUCCGGGAUACACGCGGGCUACAAUGGUCAGGACAAAAGGUACCGACC
This 523-nucleotide ribosomal RNA is filed under the name uncultured archaeon. RNAcentral's name for it is "bacterial SSU rRNA". It matches the Rfam family "Archaeal small subunit ribosomal RNA", at positions 691 to 1210 of the family's 1478-position model. The record is from RNAcentral.